Molecule: ribosomal RNA, 1467 nt
Filed under: Campylobacter jejuni
Lineage: Bacteria; Pseudomonadati; Campylobacterota; Epsilonproteobacteria; Campylobacterales; Campylobacteraceae
Description: bacterial LSU rRNA
Rfam family: Bacterial large subunit ribosomal RNA
Source: RNAcentral
GGCUAAGGGGGCUAGCGGAUGGAAGUGCUAGUCUAAGGUCGUAGGAGGUUAUACAGGCAAAUCCGUAUAACAAUACUCCGAGAACUGAAAGGCUUUUUGAAGUCUUCGGAUGGAUAGAAGAACCCCUGAUGCCGUCGAGCCAAGAAAAGUUUCUAAGUUUAGCUAAUGUUGCCCGUACCGUAAACCGACACAGGUGGGUGGGAUGAGUAUUCUAAGGCGCGUGGAAGAACUCUCUUUAAGGAACUCUGCAAAAUAGCACCGUAUCUUCGGUAUAAGGUGUGGUUAGCUUUGUAUUAGGAUUUACUCCGAAAGCAAGGAAACUUACAACAAAGAGUCCCUCCCGACUGUUUACCAAAAACACAGCACUCUGCUAACUCGUAAGAGGAUGUAUAGGGUGUGACGCCUGCCCGGUGCUCGAAGGUUAAUUGAUGGGGUUAGCAUUAGCGAAGCUCUUGAUCGAAGCCCGAGUAAACGGCGGCCGUAACUAUAACGGUCCUAAGGUAGCGAAAUUCCUUGUCGGUUAAAUACCGACCUGCAUGAAUGGCGUAACGAGAUGGGAGCUGUCUCAAAGAGGGAUCCAGUGAAAUUGUAGUGGAGGUGAAAAUUCCUCCUACCCGCGGCAAGACGGAAAGACCCCGUGGACCUUUACUACAGCUUGACACUGCUACUUGGAUAAGAAUGUGCAGGAUAGGUGGGAGGCUUUGAGUAUAUGACGCCAGUUGUAUAUGAGCCAUUGUUGAGAUACCACUCUUUCUUAUUUGGGUAGCUAACCAGCUUGAGUUAUCCUCAAGUGGGACAAUGUCUGGUGGGUAGUUUGACUGGGGCGGUCGCCUCCCAAAUAAUAACGGAGGCUUACAAAGGUUGGCUCAGAACGGUUGGAAAUCGUUCGUAGAGUAUAAAGGUAUAAGCCAGCUUAACUGCAAGACAUACAAGUCAAGCAGAGACGAAAGUCGGUCUUAGUGAUCCGGUGGUUCUGUGUGGAAGGGCCAUCGCUCAAAGGAUAAAAGGUACCCCGGGGAUAACAGGCUGAUCUCCCCCAAGAGCUCACAUCGACGGGGAGGUUUGGCACCUCGAUGUCGGCUCAUCGCAUCCUGGGGCUGGAGCAGGUCCCAAGGGUAUGGCUGUUCGCCAUUUAAAGCGGUACGCGAGCUGGGUUCAGAACGUCGUGAGACAGUUCGGUCCCUAUCUGCCGUGGGCGUAAGAAGAUUGAAGAGAUUUGACCCUAGUACGAGAGGACCGGGUUGAACAAACCACUGGUGUAGCUGUUGUUCUGCCAAGAGCAUCGCAGCGUAGCUAAGUUUGGAAAGGAUAAACGCUGAAAGCAUCUAAGCGUGAAGCCAACUCUAAGAUGAAUCUUCUCUAAGCUCUCUAGAAGACUACUAGUUUGAUAGGCUGGGUGUGUAAUGGAUGAAAGUCCUUUAGCUGACCAGUACUAAUAGAGCGUUUGGCUUAUCUUUAAUAAAGCAU